UACGUAGGGUGCGAGCGUUAAUCGGAAUUACUGGGCGUAAAGCGUGCGCAGGCGGUGAUGUAAGCCAGAUGUGAAAUCCCCGGGCUCAACCUGGGAACUGCAUUUGUGACUGCAUCGCUGGAGUGCGGCAGAGGGGGAUGGAAUUCCGCGUGUAGCAGUGAAAUGCGUAGAUAUGCGGAGGAACACCGAUGGCGAAGGCAAUCCCCUGGGCCUGCACUGACGCUCAUGCACGAAAGCGUGGGGAGCAAACAGG
RNAcentral lists this ribosomal RNA (253 nucleotides) under uncultured bacterium. RNAcentral describes it as "partial 16S ribosomal RNA". It matches the Rfam family "Bacterial small subunit ribosomal RNA", at positions 524 to 776 of the family's 1533-position model. The record is from RNAcentral.